AUUGAACGCUGGCGGCAUGCCUUACACAUGCAAGUCGAACGGUAACAGGUCUUCGGAUGCUGACGAGUGGCGAACGGGUGAGUAAUACAUCGGAACGUGCCCGAUCGUGGGGGAUAACGAGGCGAAAGCUUUGCUAAUACCGCAUACGAUCUACGGAUGAAAGCGGGGGAUCUUCGGACCUCGCGCGGACGGAGCGGCCGAUGGCAGAUUAGGUAGUUAGUGGGAUAAAAGCUUACCAAGCCGACGAUCUGUAGCUGGUCUGAGAGGAUGAUCAGCCACACUGGGGCUGAGACACGGCCCAGACUCCUACGGGAGGCAGCAGUGGGGAAUUUUGGACAAUGGGCGAAAGCCUGAUCCAGCCAUGCCGCGUGCAGGAUGAAGGCCUUCGGGUUGUAAACUGCUUUUGUACGGAACGAAAAGCCUCUUUCUAAUAAAGAGGGGUCAUGACGGUACCGUAAGAAUAAGCACCGGCUAACUACGUG
This 482-nucleotide ribosomal RNA is filed under the name uncultured bacterium. RNAcentral's name for it is "partial 16S ribosomal RNA". It matches the Rfam family "Bacterial small subunit ribosomal RNA", at positions 30 to 507 of the family's 1533-position model. The record is from RNAcentral.